GUUCCUUCAUAAGCUAAAUAACUUUUAUUAUUGAAUAAUUCAUAUACAAUUACAAAAUGAGCACAAUCAUCAAUAAGCUGAUGGUUGGCUUUGGGAUAUAAUUUUUAAUAACUCUCAUUUGGACUAAAGCCAAUCAGUAUAGUAUCGUAAACUCAUCAUCAAUUUAUGAUCAUCGAACUCCUUGACGCUGAAGGCUUUAGUGAAUUGGUCGGUCAGGUUCUUCUUUCC
Molecule: long non-coding RNA, 228 nt
Filed under: Elaeis guineensis (African oil palm)
Lineage: Eukaryota; Viridiplantae; Streptophyta; Magnoliopsida; Arecales; Arecaceae
Description: long non-coding RNA (EGUI_LNC061782)
Source: RNAcentral